AACGAACGCUGGCGGCAUGCCUAACACAUGCAAGUCGAACGAGAUCUUCGGGUCUAGUGGCGCACGGGUGCGUAACGCGUGGGAAUCUGCCCUUUGGUUCGGAAUAACAGUUGGAAACGACUGCUAAUACCGGAUGAUGACGAAAGUCCAAAGAUUUAUCGCCAGAGGAUGAGCCCGCGUAGGAUUAGCUAGUUGGUGUGGUAAAGGCGCACCAAGGCGACGAUCCUUAGCUGGUCUGAGAGGAUGAUCAGCCACACUGGGACUGAGACACGGCCCAAACUCCUACGGGAUGCAGCAGUGGGGAAUAUUGGACAAUGGGCCAAAGCCUGAUCCAGCAAUGCCGCGUGAGUGAUGAAGGCCUUAGGGUUGUAAAGCUCUUUUACCCGGGAUGAUAAUGACAGUACCGGGAGAAUAAGCUCCGGCUAACUCCGUGCCAGCCGCCGCGGUAA
Molecule: ribosomal RNA, 449 nt
Filed under: uncultured bacterium
Lineage: Bacteria
Description: partial 16S ribosomal RNA
Rfam family: Bacterial small subunit ribosomal RNA
Source: RNAcentral